Molecule: ribosomal RNA, 334 nt
Filed under: uncultured bacterium
Lineage: Bacteria
Description: bacterial SSU rRNA
Rfam family: Bacterial small subunit ribosomal RNA
Source: RNAcentral
GUUUGACGUUAGCGACAGAAGAAAGCACCGGCUAACUCCGUGCCAGCAGCCGCGGUAAUACGGAGGGUGCGAGCGUUAAUCGGAAUUACUGGGCGUAAAGCGCAUGCAGGUGGUUUGUUAAGUCAGAUGUGAAAGACCCGGGGCGUCAACCUCGGAAUUGCAUUUGUAAACUAGGCAGACUAGAGUACUGUAGAGGGGGGUAGGAAUUUCAGGUGUAGCGGUGAAAUGCGUAGAGAUCUGAAGGAAUACCGGUGGCGAAGGCGGCCCCCUCGGACAGAUACUGACACUCAGAUGCGAAAGCGUGGGGAGCAAACAGGAUUAGAUACCCUGGUAG